Molecule: long non-coding RNA, 214 nt
Filed under: Pelobates cultripes (western spadefoot toad)
Lineage: Eukaryota; Metazoa; Chordata; Amphibia; Anura; Pelobatidae
Source: RNAcentral
GUACUGGCUUGCUAGCUAAGCCGUAAGGCGAAACGAUUAGGCUUGGUGUUUUUUGGUGACUGGUGAGGCCCUGCUAGUUGCCAAGUGGCUUGAGAGGCUCUAUCUAUGCUUGGCGCGAGGGGAUUUUUUUUGUGGCCACCGAACGUUGUGGCAGGAUGUUGGCCUCUCGGUGACAGUAACCAGAAAAUAGGAGGGGGAGUGACAGGUGAGGCCC